GAUCCUGGCUUAGGAUGAACGCUAGCUACAGGCUUAACACAUGCAAGUCGAGGGCAGCAUGAAGUUGCUUGCAAACUUGAUGGCGACCGGCGCACGGGUGAGUAACGCGUAUCCAACCUUCCCUAUAGUAGAGGAUAGCCCGGCGAAAGUCGGAUUAAUACUCUAUGUUUUCCAAUGCGGACAUCUAAAAUGGAACAAAGGUUUACCGCUAUAGGAUGGGGAUGCGUCUGAUUAGGUAGUCGGCGGGUAACGGCCCACCGAGCCAUCGAUCAGUAGGGGUUCUGAGAGGAAGGUCCCCCACAUUGGAACUGAGACACGGUCCAAACUCCUACGGGAGGCAGCAGUGAGGAAUAUUGGUCAAUGGGCGAGAGCCUGAACCAGCCAAGUAAGCGUGCAGGAUGACGGCCCUAUGGGUUGUAAACUGCUUUUAUACAGGGAUAAAGUGGGGAACGUGUUCCCUUUUGUAGGUACUGUAUGAAUAAGGACCGGCUAAUUCCGUGCCAGCCGCUGC
Molecule: ribosomal RNA, 511 nt
Filed under: uncultured bacterium
Lineage: Bacteria
Description: bacterial SSU rRNA
Rfam family: Bacterial small subunit ribosomal RNA
Source: RNAcentral